CCUACGGGAGGCAGCAGUGGGGAAUAUUGGGCAAUGGGCGCAAGCCUGACCCAGCAACGCCGCGUGAAGGAAGAAGGCUUUCUGGUUGUAAACUUCUUUUGUCAGGGAAGAGUAGAAGACGGUACCUGACGCAUCAGCCACGGCUAACUACGUGCCAGCAGCCGCGGUAAUACGUAGGUGGCAAGCGUUUUCCGGAUUUACUGGGUGUAAAGGGCGUGUAGCCGGGUUGACAAGUCAGAUGGGAAAUCCUUCGGCUUAACCGCAGAACUGCAUUUGAAACUGUUGAUCUUGAGUGAGGGAGAGGCAGACGGAAUUCCUAGGGUAGCGGUGAAAUGCGUAGAUAUUAGGAGGAACACCAGUGGCGAAGGCGGUCUGCUGGACAGCAACUGACGGUGAGGCGCGAAAGCGUGGGGAGCAAACAGGAUUAGAUACCCUUGUAGUC
RNAcentral lists this ribosomal RNA (442 nucleotides) under uncultured bacterium. RNAcentral's name for it is "partial 16S ribosomal RNA". It matches the Rfam family "Bacterial small subunit ribosomal RNA", at positions 338 to 795 of the family's 1533-position model. The record is from RNAcentral.